This is a long non-coding RNA of Saccostrea cuccullata (small rock oyster), 240 nucleotides long. RefSeq lists it as uncharacterized. The record is from RefSeq and is a predicted model, not a curated record. Lineage: Eukaryota; Metazoa; Mollusca; Bivalvia; Ostreida; Ostreidae. The transcript has 3 exons.
UCAAUUAGCGCAUGCGCUCUUCAUCAAAUUUUAUUACUUCCUGUUGAUGUUCACCGGUUCCACAUCAUCACUGAAUUCUCAUUUUAUUUGAUCAAAAUGCACAUCAUGAGGAAAGACAAGAAGGAGGAGGAAGAAGGAGGAGGAAAUCCAUUCCACAAUUUGGAGAAGACGGCAGUUCUUCAGGAGGCCAGGACAUUUAAUGAGACCCCAAUCAAUGCAAGUGCAGCCAUAUUCUGACUA